CAUUAUCACUAAUCAAGCCCGGCUUGCUGUUGGACCUCUUGUCGUUUAAAGACAGGCCCCAAAGAUAAUGACGGUGUUAUUAGAACCCUAGAUGCAACGAGCUUUAACUAGCACGCAUGAUAGUGGCCUUUUAACCCGGUCUCUUUUAACCAAUUUAUAAGGUUGACCUCGGAUCAGGUAGGGAUACCCGCUGAACUUAA
This 200-nucleotide unclassified non-coding RNA is filed under the name soil metagenome. RNAcentral's name for it is "partial contains internal transcribed spacer 2 and large subunit ribosomal RNA". The record is from RNAcentral.